GGGGCUGUGGCUCAGUGGUAGAGUACCCCCCUCGUAUGUGUCGUAUGUGUGAAGCACUAGGUUCAAUCCUUAGCACCACA
This 80-nucleotide transfer RNA is filed under the name Marmota monax (woodchuck). Its description in RNAcentral is "tRNA.Thr". The record is from RNAcentral. Lineage: Eukaryota; Metazoa; Chordata; Mammalia; Rodentia; Sciuridae.